AGAGUUUUUUCCUGGCUCAGAUUGAACGCUGGCGGCAGGCCUAACACAUGCAAGUCGAGCGGAUGAGGGGAGCUUGCUCCUGGAUUUAGCGGCGGACGGGUGAGGAAUACGCAGGAAUCUACCUAGUAGCGGGGGAUAACGUAGGGAAACUUACGCUAAUACCGCAUACGACCUACGGGUGAAAGCAGGGGACCUUCGGGCCUUGCGCUAUUAGAUGGGCCUGCGUCGGAUUAGCUAGUUGGUGGGGUAAAGGCCUACCAAGGCGACGAUCCGUAGCUGGUCUUAGAGGAUGAUCAGCCACACUGGGACUGAGACACGGCCCAGACUCCUACGGGAGGCAGCAGUGGGGAAUAUUGGACAAUGGGCGAAAGCCUGAUCCAGCCAUGCCGCGUGUGUGAAGAAGGCCCUCGGGUUGUAAAGCACUUUAAGCGAGGAGGAAAGGUUGAAGGUUAAUACCCUUUAGCUGUGACGUUACUCGCAGAAUAAGCACCGGCAAACUUCGUGCCAGCAGCCGCGGUAAUACGAAGGGUGCGAGCGUUAAUCGGAAUUACUGGGCGUAAAGCGCACGUAGGUGGUUAGGUAAGCGUACUGUGAAAUCCCCGGGCUCAACCUGGGAACUGCAGGACGAACUGCCUGACUAGAGUAUAGUAGAGGAGUGUGGAAUUCCCGGUGUAGCGGUAAAAUGCGUAGAUAUCGGGAGGAACAUCAGUGGCGAAGGCGGCACUCUGGACUGAUACUGACACUGAGGUGCGAAAGCGUGGGUAGCGAACAGGAUUAGAUACCCUGGUAGUCCACGCCGUAAACGAUG
This 808-nucleotide ribosomal RNA is filed under the name uncultured bacterium. RNAcentral describes it as "bacterial SSU rRNA". It matches the Rfam family "Bacterial small subunit ribosomal RNA", at positions 8 to 811 of the family's 1533-position model. The record is from RNAcentral.